Molecule: long non-coding RNA, 1616 nt
Organism: Paramormyrops kingsleyae
Lineage: Eukaryota; Metazoa; Chordata; Actinopteri; Osteoglossiformes; Mormyridae
Source: RefSeq, a predicted model, not a curated record
AUUGCCUUGCUGGUCUGGUGCAAGUGCUGGAGUAUGGCAAGACAAGUUAACUAUAAAGGGAGCCAGAUUGAUAACGUCCGAUUUUUCGUUUUGGCAAUUUAGAGGCAGAUUUGCAAAGUUCACGCUUCUCUUUUUACCUCUUACAUUGCACUUGAGUAUCACACGAGCAACGGGUAGCUGUGCUCAUAAAUGGACGAUAGUGGAAGGGUAAUUAGUUUAAGCAGGGAGGUGCCUCUCAGUGGCUGCGCCUUGGGAAUCAUGGGAAGGAUGGAGUCUGGCUGUUUCUGGAUGCUUCCGUGGCUCUUUCUGCUCUACUCUCCCAGGGCCAGGCAGGUGCGGGACGCAGUGCAUUGUUGUACCAUCUCCUCCCAAUAUUGCACUCGUCCCGGCCUCCCGGACCUUUGGGAAACCCCUUCACCUCUGCAGGGGUGAAGAAGGGCAACUUUUUUUUUCUUUUUUUUUUGAGACGUUUCCUGGAACACCUGCCAUGAAACGAGUGGUUUGAAUAGCAGAACUGAGGAGUCAUUACGUCAUUGUGGGGGGGGGGCACAGAUGGUUCAGUCCUGUAAACAAGUGAAUUGAAUGAACUUUUGCAGUUCGUUUAUUUAAUAAUCCGAUUUUAACAUAGAUUGGACAGUAAGUCAGGUAUGGUUUUAAAUUCAGGAUCUGUUUAUCUAUUACAGUAUGAAGUGGUUCUCAAUUAAACAGGUAACACAGGAAAACGUUGCACAUAAAGUAAAAAAAAGAACAACAACAAACUAUAUCAUCAUGUAAUGUAGAAUGCAGUGUAGACAAUGUUAAAUUUGGUUUAGUAAACGUACCAAUGAUAUGCUACUAGGAUAUCAUUGAGACUGUUUUAGCACAGAAAUUAUAGCCAUAAUUAUUUUGUCUUGAUGAAGACGGAUUAUUAUCGUAGGAUGAAUGCAAACUUAAUAGUGCAGUAAAUAUGUUUUUAAAUCCAUUAUGAUUAUCAUCAUUUCUCUUAGGAGGCCGUUUCCAUGAUCUGAGAAACACUAAUGCUGUCCAGUUCCAACGUCCCACAAAGCAACAGGCUCCAGACCCCUUGUGACCCCAAAUAGGACAAGCAGUUACAGAAAAUGGAUGGAUGGAUGGAUACAGCCUAAAUAUGAUCAGCUGCACUCUGACAUUGAGCAAAUAUAAUUAAUCACUUUGUUUUCUUUAAAAAAAAAAAUGUAGUAUUCAAAAGGAAGAACAAAUAAAAGAGGUAAUAUCAGCUUCCAAGAUGGAUCCUGAGGUUCAGGGUGAAAGAAACUCACAUCCAAGUUAACUGUGGAACUCAGAUCAGAUAUGGUGCUUAUGUGGUGUUUUGCAGGCAUGCUGACCAAAGACGUUUUUCUUUCUUUCUACAGCUGUUUGUGCAUGUAAAGUAUCACUUCUCACUGUGCAUUUGCUAAAGGGCGGCCAGAAUGUAAGAAACUUGAUACCAAACUUGCAGUUAGUUAUUGUAUUUAUCUGCCUGGAUGUUGGUAAAUUAAAAGAGAAUAAUCUAGAACAUAAUCCACUCUAUGAACUUUUUGUCAAUGACAUGCGAUUUAUACAAUGAGUAUAGCAUCACAUUGUAGUUUUACAUUAAAAACUCCAGUUCAGAAAUGGUC